GAUGAACGCUGGCGGCGUGCCUAAUACAUGCGAGUCGAGCGAACGGACGAGAAGCUUGCUCCUCUGAUGUUAGCGGCGGACGGGUGAGUAACACGUGGAUAACCUACCUAUAAGACUGGGGUAACUUCGGGAAACCGGAGCUAAUACCGGAUAAUAUUUUGAACCGCAUGGUUCAAAAGUGAAAGACGGUUUUGCUGUCACUUAUAGAUGGAUCCGCGCUGCAUUAGCUAGUUGGUAAGGUAACGGCUUACCAAGGCAACGAUGCAUAGCCGACCUGAGAGGGUGAUCGGCCACACUGGAACUGAGACACGGUCCAGACUCCUACGGGAGGCAGCAGUAGGGAAUCUUCCGCAAUGGGCGAAAGCCUGACGAAGCAACGCCGCGUGAGUGAUGAAGGUCUUCGGAUCGUAAAACUCUGUUAUUAGGGAAGAACAUAUGUGUAAGUAACUGUGCACGUCUUGACGGUACCUAAUCAGAAAGCCACGGCUAACUACGUG
RNAcentral lists this ribosomal RNA (497 nucleotides) under uncultured bacterium. Its description in RNAcentral is "partial 16S ribosomal RNA". It matches the Rfam family "Bacterial small subunit ribosomal RNA", at positions 28 to 507 of the family's 1533-position model. The record is from RNAcentral.